This 367-nucleotide ribosomal RNA is filed under the name uncultured Glomeromycotina. Its description in RNAcentral is "LSU rRNA". Lineage: Eukaryota; Fungi; Glomeromycota. The record is from RNAcentral.
UUGAAAGGGAAACGAUUGAAGUCAGUCGUGCUGGCGCGAAAUCAACCCCUUCAUCGGGAGACCCAUGUUGUGGCGAGCCUCAAGACCGCCACAGCAUGUGUCUCACGAUGAGGGGGAGCACUUUCGUGUCCGCUGGUUAACAUCAAUUUCGAACGUCAUAAAAAGGCUGGAGGGAUGUGGCUCCUUCGGGAGUGUUAUAACCUUUAGCGGAAUGUGGUGUUCGGGAUUGAGGAUUGCAACGAAUACCUUUAGGGCUGUUCCACCUGGCUUCUCUUUGGUAUCCUGGUGACGACAGCUUGCUGACGUUGUUAGGAUUCGCCUUUGAACAGGCUAGAGUGUGAGCAAAUUCGUUAAGGAUGUUGACGUA